Molecule: long non-coding RNA, 280 nt
Filed under: Oncorhynchus kisutch (coho salmon)
Lineage: Eukaryota; Metazoa; Chordata; Actinopteri; Salmoniformes; Salmonidae
Description: lncRNA (ENSOKIG00005036572.1)
Source: RNAcentral
AAAGGUGAGGAAUGCCAUAAAGAGGAUCAAAGAGAAGAGGAAAGCCUUGUCUUUCACGAACUGUUCCCAGCCAAUCAGCUUUCUGCCGUCCCAGAGGGGUCCAGCCCAGACGUGGACCCACAGUCUGCCACCUCCCUCCAGCCCAGAGACCAGCGACAUCUCAGGCCCCGGCAGCACCACCUCCACCUCACUGGUCAUCAAGAGCGGUAGGAGAGGCUGGCCAGAGUGGGGUGGGUGGCUCUGGGGUUGGAGUGAAGAUUGGGGCUGUGGAGGGUUGGGG